CUUUGCCCAGCCAUACCGGACCUUUCCUUCCUUCUCUUCUUCAUUAAUCGACUUCUUCACUACAUACUUGUGAAGUAUGCACCAUAUGCCAGCACCCGAGACACGUGGUGGGAAUUCAGUGGGAAACCGACCAACAAAAAUAGGUGGGGGGUGCCUGGGUGGCUCAGCUGGUUAAACAUCGGAAUCUGGAUUUCGGCUCAGGUCAUGAUCUCAUGGUUCGUGAAAUCGGGCCCCAUGUUGGGUUCAUGAGAUCAAGCCCUAUGUCGGGCUCUGCACUGACAGUGUGGAACCUGCUUGGAAUUCUCUCUCUCUCUCUCUCUCUCUCUCUCUCUCUCUCUCCAAAUAAAUAAAUAAACUUAAAAAAAAGUAGGUGGUUUUAA
Neofelis nebulosa (Clouded leopard) is the source of this 380-nucleotide long non-coding RNA. RefSeq lists it as uncharacterized. Lineage: Eukaryota; Metazoa; Chordata; Mammalia; Carnivora; Felidae. The record is from RefSeq and is a predicted model, not a curated record. The transcript is spliced from 2 exons.